RNAcentral lists this ribosomal RNA (388 nucleotides) under uncultured bacterium. RNAcentral describes it as "partial 16S ribosomal RNA". It matches the Rfam family "Bacterial small subunit ribosomal RNA", at positions 523 to 918 of the family's 1533-position model. The record is from RNAcentral.
AUACAUAGGGGGCAAGCGUUAUCCGGAAUUAUUGGGCGUAAAGGGUGCGUAGGCGGUCUAUUAAGUCUGAGGUGUAAGUGCAGGGCUCAACCCUGUGAUGCUUUAGAAACUGGUAGACUUGAGUGAGAUAGAGGCAAGUGGAAUUCCAUUUGUAGCGGUAAAAUGCGUAAAUAUAUGGAGGAACACCAGUGGCGAAGGCGGCUUGCUGGGUCUAUACUGACGCUGAGGCACGAAAGCGUGGGGAGCAAACAGGAUUAGAUACCCUGGUAGUCCACGCCGUAAACGAUGAGUACUAAGUGUUGCGAGAACGCAGUGCUGAAGUUAACAUAUUAAGUACUCCGCCUGAGUAGUACGUACGCAAGUAUGAAACUCAAAGGAAUUGACGGGG